GGGAACAUAGCUCAGUUGGUAGAGUGCUUACUUCACAUGCACAAGGCCCUGGGUUCAAUCCCCAGUGCCACCA
Ictidomys tridecemlineatus (thirteen-lined ground squirrel) is the source of this 73-nucleotide non-coding RNA. NCBI's taxonomy places the organism in Eukaryota, Metazoa, Chordata, Mammalia, Rodentia, Sciuridae. The record is from Rfam.